This 232-nucleotide long non-coding RNA is filed under the name Phoenix dactylifera (date palm). RNAcentral describes it as "long non-coding RNA (PDAC_LNC021014)". Lineage: Eukaryota; Viridiplantae; Streptophyta; Magnoliopsida; Arecales; Arecaceae. The record is from RNAcentral.
UUUCAGACUGUUCUUCUCUAGGAGUCGACUUGGACAAACUGAGAGUCGACUCGGCUACUGUGGAGGAUUCUGCAAUCUCAUUGUUAGUACGCAAUUGAAGCACAUGUGAGCUAAUCUGAGAUUUAUCAUAAAUAUUUUCUAAAGUAUCCCAGAUCUCCUUAGCAGAUAAGCAUGCAGAAAUUUCAUUAAACUUCGUUUCAUGAAUAGCACAAUAUAAUAUGUUCAUAGCAUU